GGCGUUUGCAUGCUUCCCUCUCUGCCUGGCUUCUCUCAGCAGAUCAGUGCUGCUCACAGAGCAUCAUGCAGGACAUCUGCUGUCCACACAGAGCAGCACACAGCUCAACACGAGCCUUCAGUCGCUGCAAAUGACUCAAAACAACACAGAGAAGGACCAAUUUGCAGGAUUUUAGGGAUUUUUUGAACCUUUUCCACCUUUUCAAAUGUCUGGAGGGUUAUUAUUGCGGAGCUUUCACUAAGACUUAUAAGGAGGGAUCUUGGCUCCUGCAGCCGUUUCCCCUGCAGGGCUGAGCUCUUUGGCUGGCUGCUACUUCCUUAGCAGAGGGGCUGCUGGCAGGAGUAACAUCUGAGCAAGUACCACAAACAAACAGGCUCAAAAGUCUGAAAAUAAGGUCAUGAAGCCUCAGGAGGCCGAGCUCGUCAAUGAAAUCUCCAAGCUGCAGUGCAUGGUGUCGGAGCUGAAGACGGGCUUCACCAGCGCUCUGCUGGAGCUCAGUCAGAUCCAACAUGGAGACACUUACCUGAGGGAGGAGCUGGAGGAGAACCGGAGGAGCUGCCAGAAGAAAGCUCUCCGUCUGGAGGCUCUGGUCGAAUCACUGAAGGAGGAACUGGGUGUGAUGAGAUGUCAGGUUGUUCAGCUGUACAGCAAAAGACCUCAGCAGGAAGGAAAGAGCUCCACAUCUAAACAGAGCAUCGAUCCAGCAGAGUCGGUCGGUGGACGGAGUCGCUGCGACUGUUCGUCUGCUCCACCAGCCGCUCUGUCCAGAGGAAAACUGCUCCUCCACUGCUUCCUGCAGGGCCUCAAGGCUGGACUGAGCGAAGGAACAGAUGCUCGACACCAGGUGGCGAUGCAGCUUCUACACUCUGAGUGGGAAUAUGUGUCAACUUUAAACCAACUGUACGACAAGUACAAGACGCCACCAGCUCACCAGAUGACCAUGGAGCCGUAUCAGACUUACGUGAAGUUCGUGGAGCAGCUGCUACAGCGCCACCUGCUGUUCAGAAACACUCUGCAGGAGCGUUUAUCCGCUGAACACUGGAAGUCUCUGGUCGGGGACAUCCUGGUGCAGCUAAUCGGACAAAACGACACAGCUUUUUCAGACAUGUACCUCGGAUACACGACCACUCUGGCCACGUUCCUCUGGCUGGAGUUCACCAGACUGAACCAACCAGAGAAAAGCCACAAAAUGCAGAGCGGCCAGAUGGAGAGGGAGGAAAUAAAACUGCUGUCGUUGCUGUUGGCGCCAGUCGCUCGAAUCCACAGCUACCUGAGUCACAUCCAGAACCUGCUGCAGUGGACGGGUAAAGAACAUCCAGACUGCAGCCUCCUGCUGGGAACCGAACGAGCGCUGAGGAGCGUUUUGUCUCGAUGUCAUGUGAUCCUGGAGGAAGACGUCCGAUGGGAGGAAGGAGAAGGACAAAGCUGCUCUGAUGCUGCAGCAGCAACGUCAUCUGCAAACUGCUGCACAAGAAGCCAACAGACCAGAGACGAGAACAACCCUGCAGCUCAGAGAGACCUUCAGCCUCCAGGACUCUCCAACGGGCUGGACGGCGGCCACUCCAUGCGUCUGGAGUGUUGGUCCUGCAGCCCGGUGAGGAGGGACCGGACCGUCCAGAACCAGCCGGCUCACGACUGCAGACGCUGCUGCUCUCUCCUCACCCCUGACGCUGCCGGAUGGGGGGAGAACAGCGACUCGGGCCAGGGCACCUUCAGCCAGAACAACGGAAAGGUUCCCCACCAGAACCACAGCCUGGAGGACGGAGAGACCGACCCGGACGACACCUCGGCCUUCGACUACUCCUCCGUCACCUCCUGCAGCCCGGACGGAACCCUGAGGAGGGAGACGGUGGAGAGCGUCAGCGGGGAGGACGAGGAGGACAGCCAGGUCCCGGUUCUCCUGAAACCCUCCUACAACCAGCAGCAGCAGCAGCAGCCGGAGACGCCCAGAGAGAGGACGGUGUGUCUGAGGUGGCAGAUCCCCAGGUUGACCCCCCAUCCUCCGCUCAGGAACCCCAGCGGGCCCUACGGGGACGGACCCAUGCCCUGCCUGGUGGGGUCCUACGGAAAGAGGCUGGUCAGCGUGAGGAAGGGUUCUCCUCCUCUUCAUCCCAAAAGUGCCUUCAGACCCAUCUGGGACGACCCGUCCAAGCAGGCUGAUUCGGCUCCAGAGAAGGACAACAGACAAGGCUUCAUACCGAUUCAAGCUCCAACCAGACAAAACUUCCAGAGUUUCAACCCGAGCAGAGAAAAUCUGAGACCUUCAGGAGUCGUUCAGCAGCAGAGAGUGAACCAGGGGUUGUGGGACGACAGCGAGGACAGCGAAGGACCCUGCAGCACAGUUUGACCUCCAGCAGAAAACAGACUGAUGAUAAACUGAAGUUGAAUCCAAACAGGAGAAGAUCUGUGACGGAGGAACUAAAAGCCACAACAGACGUUAACAGAAGUGAAUCAAAAGCCUGAAAACUGAGUGUUUCUGAUUUUAUCUUUAAGCUGAAACUUGUACGAACACUGAGGACUUCUACAUGUGGGAUUAUAUUUAAGUACAAGUUAAAUUAAGGCUGAAAAAUUAGAGGGAAAUAUCUAAUUGUGAUUUUCUGCCACAUAUUUAAGUUUUAGUUUAAUAGUGGCUGUAAUAGAUCUUAAACAUGUGAUGCAGUGUAAACAGCUGAGACACCAGGAAGGACGGCAUGAAUCUGAACAUCCCAAAUUAAAACCUUUGCGAUUUUUCUAAUUGUGCUGUUUCAAAUUGUGAUUUCUCCUUUUAUUGCUGUAAAACAAAGAAACUAGUAAGACCAACCAAGAAAGCUAUGAGUCCUCCUCCAGAGGUGGUUAAAGAAGCAAGAAACUAGUAAUCAAGGCCACCAAGACAGCUAUGACUCCUCUGACCUUGGUGGCCUCUGUCAGAGAAGUCAUAGAUUGCAUUUCCUGUAUUUUGCAGUCACUGUAGCGCCUCCUACAGACUUGAAAAGGCAACGUAAGGUGACGGGUAGGUUGCUGUUUGAUGCCAACUCUGCCAGAAAAGUGAAUAAAUC
Long non-coding RNA from Amphiprion ocellaris (clown anemonefish), 3035 nucleotides. Lineage: Eukaryota; Metazoa; Chordata; Actinopteri; Pomacentridae. The record is from Ensembl.